Molecule: ribosomal RNA, 301 nt
Filed under: uncultured bacterium
Lineage: Bacteria
Description: partial 16S ribosomal RNA
Rfam family: Bacterial small subunit ribosomal RNA
Source: RNAcentral
CAGUCGCCACGGGAAUACGUAGGGUGCAAGCGUUAAUCGGAAUUACUGGGCGUAAAGCGUGCGCAGGCGGUUUGUUAAGACAGAUGUGAAAUCCCCGGGCUCAACCUGGGAACUGCAUUUGUGACUGGCGAGCUAGAGUGUGGCAGAGGGGGGUGGAAUUCCGCGUGUAGCAGCGAAAUGCGUAGAUAUGCGGAGGAACACCGAUGGCGAAGGCAGCCCCCUGGGCCAACACUGACGCUCAUGCGCGAGAGCGUGGGGAGCAAGCAGGAUUAGAUACCCCAGUAGUCCCUGUCUCUUAUAC